CCGUUGUGGAGCUUCCAGAGCAGCUCCUCGUUCUCCAUGGAGAGGCGCUUGUUGACCUUGGACUCCUUCUCCAGCGACUCCUGCAGGACCGCCUGCUCCGUGGAAAGUUGCCUGGCAGACAGAAAGGAGCCAGAAAUCAUCCAGGUUUCCCUGGGAAGGGAAGGCAUGCCCGCUGAGGACUCAGGCUUUUAUCCAGGCCCCUUGGGUAAGUGAAGGCGCCACGGGCUGCAGUCAUUUCCCAGGCAGAAAUCAGAACCUCUUUAACCACUCGCUUCAGUCCAGGAGGGACAGGAGUGGGCCGUGCUAAGAAAGGAACACUCAGGGUUCAUGUGUGAGGCAGGGAGGGGCUCGGGGCAAACAGGACAGUGGCACCAUUACCUCGAAAUUGCCAUGUGCUUGUCCAUCCGAGCUUUCAGUUCUUCAUUCUCCUGCUGGAAUCGCUUCAGUUUGUCCACCAGCGCUGUGUUAUUGUCCACCUUGGCAUAAAUGAGAGUGUCAACAUUCAUACGUUAAAAAUUACAUAAGGCCCCUUAUUCCUUGAGGUACCUUCCUGAUAUCAGUGUAGGCUACAGAGAUUUAAUUUAGGAAAGUUUUUUUUUUUUUUAAUUCUUUUCAAGGUUAACAGUAUUUUUAUUUUAAAAAUUUAUUAUUGGAGUAUAAUUGCUUUACACUGUUGUAUUAGUGUCUGCUGUACAAUGAAGUCAAUCAGCUGUAUGUAUAGAGAUAUCCCCUCCCCCUGGAUCCCCCAUCCCACUCCUCUAGGUCAUCACAGAGCACUGAGCUGAGCUCCCUGUGCUAUAUAAAGCAGCUUCCCACUGGCUGUUUUACACACGGUAGCGUAUAUAGGUCAAUGGCUACUCUUAAUUCAGCAAAGCUGAAUGGUAUGUUGAACAUCUCUACACUGACGCACUGCGAGAAAGAACCUACUGCAGCAAAACAGAGCACACGGGUAUUACUUUUCACAUGUGUGCCAGGGCAUGUGAACACACACACACACCCAGGGGCUACUGAUUUGUUCAAGGUCACGCUGCUUUAGAAUUCCCAAGAAUUGGUGCCCUGCCCUUGGAGGCUGUGCCUCUUUCAGUUUCACGGUGAUAAAGAAAACCGCAGCCCGGCAGCCAACGUUUAUCAGAGACACUACAGCUUCUUAUGAUCAAUUUGGGAAAAAAAAAAAAAAAAAUCCCACAUUUGAUGAAAACUCAGUUCAUGGCAGUGUUUAACACGACCUUAAUCAUGGUUUCCUGCUGGCUCGCCAGCAUGUCCCUCUGAGUGGCUACUCAGUGCAAUCCACAGAGCUCUGUGGAGCCUCAAAAUAAAGAAAUGCAUGACAAAAGGCACCCCUCCUUAGCUAAACUAAAGACAUGUUUGUUUUCCUUGAAAGUUUAGCCUGGGAAGGACAACAGGCAAGCAAACUGAUCUGCCAGAUUAAAGGAGAAAAGCCCAGAAGACACUGAAUCAGCUAAUGAUGAAGAGCUGAAUACACUCCUGCUCACUUUCUGAAGGUGGCUAUCCCCAGACCACGGAUAUGAAUGACCUUUGCUGUUAUUUUUCUAAACACUGACUGCUCCGUUUGCAUGUUCCACUGGACAUGGAACAACAGACUGGUUCCAAAUAGGAAAAGGAGUUCGUCAAGGCUGUAUAUUGUCACCCUAUUUAACUUAUAUGCAGAGUACAUCAUGAGAAACGCUGGACUGGAAGAAACACAA
Bubalus bubalis (water buffalo) is the source of this 1706-nucleotide long non-coding RNA. RefSeq lists it as uncharacterized. The transcript is spliced from 3 exons. NCBI's taxonomy places the organism in Eukaryota, Metazoa, Chordata, Mammalia, Artiodactyla, Bovidae. The record is from RefSeq and is a predicted model, not a curated record.